GAUGAACGCUGGCGGCAGGCUUAAUACAUGCAAGUCGAACGGUAACAUGUCGGAGCAAUCUGAUGAUGACGAGUGGCGCACGGGUGCGUAACGCGUAUGCAACCUACCCAUAACCGGAACAUAACGUUGAGAAAUCGGCGCUAAUAUUCCAUGUGUAUAUUUUGUGGCAUCAUAGAAUAUAUAAAGAUUAAUUGGUUAUGGAUGGGCAUGCGUAUCAUUAGCUAGUUGGUGGGGUAACGGCCUACCAAGGCUGCGAUGAUUAGGGGUUCUGAGAGGAUAACCCCCCACACUGGAACUGAGACACGGUCCAGACUCCUACGGGAGGCAGCAGUAGGGAAUAUUGGGCAAUGGAGGCAACUCUGACCCAGCCAUGCCGCGUGAAGGAAGACGGUCCUAUGGAUUGUAAACUUCUUUUAUCAUAGAGUAACCGCAGGGCGUGUCCCUGCCUGCAAGUUAUGAUGAAUAGC
RNAcentral lists this ribosomal RNA (467 nucleotides) under uncultured bacterium. RNAcentral's name for it is "bacterial SSU rRNA". It matches the Rfam family "Bacterial small subunit ribosomal RNA", at positions 28 to 491 of the family's 1533-position model. The record is from RNAcentral.